Molecule: unclassified non-coding RNA, 407 nt
Filed under: soil metagenome
Description: partial contains 5.8S ribosomal RNA, internal transcribed spacer 2, and large subunit ribosomal RNA
Rfam family: 5.8S ribosomal RNA (bases 1-121)
Source: RNAcentral
GAUGAAGAACGCAGCGAAAUGCGAUAAGUAGUGUGAAUUGCAGAAGUACCGUGAAUCAUCGAAUCUUUGAACGCAAAUUGCACUCUCUGGUAUUCCGGGGAGUAUGCCUGUUUGAGGGUCGCUUAACAAACCAUCGAUUUCGUUGCUUUUUUUUUUAAAGUUAUGUUUAUCGGAUUUGAGCCGUCUUUUUUUUUAUAUUUAAGUGGCUUAAAAUUGAUUUUUUUGGUACGAUCGAAGCGUAUUUUUAUGAUCAAUUUUUGGUUAAAGAAACGCACACGUACCGUUAUUUAUAUGAUGUAAUACGUUUGACUAUUGGAUUUAGUUCAUUCGUAUACGAUAUCUUUCAAUAUUUGACCUCAAAUCAGGUAAGAACACCCGCUGAACUUAAGCAUAUCAAUAGCGGAGGA